This 508-nucleotide ribosomal RNA is filed under the name Glomus sp. PSAMG4. RNAcentral's name for it is "SSU rRNA". It matches the Rfam family "Eukaryotic small subunit ribosomal RNA", at positions 569 to 1078 of the family's 1831-position model. Lineage: Eukaryota; Fungi; Glomeromycota; Glomeromycetes; Glomerales; Glomeraceae. The record is from RNAcentral.
AGCAGCCGCGGUAAUUCCAGCUCCAAUAGCGUAUAUUAAAGUUGUUGCGGUUAAAAAGCUCGUAGUUGAAUUUCGGGGUUAGUAGGUUGGUCAUGCCUCUGGUAUGUACUGGUCUCACUGAUUCCUCCUUCCUGACGAACCUUAAUGCCAUUAAUUUGGUGUUUUGGGAAAUUUGGACUGUUACUUUGAAAAAAUUAGAGUGUUUAAAGCAAGCUAACGCUUGAAUACAUUAGCAUGGAAUAAUGAAAUAGGACGUUCGAUCCUAUUUUGUUGGUUUCUAGGAUUGACGUAAUGAUUAAUAGGGAUAGUUGGGGGCAUUAGUAUUCAAUUGUCAGAGGUGAAAUUCUUGGAUUUAUUGAAGACUAACUACUGCGAAAGCAUUUGCCAAGGAUGUUUUCAUUAAUCAAGAACGAAAGUUAGGGGAUCGAAGACGAUCAGAUACCGUCGUAGUCUUAACCAUAAACUAUGCCGACUAGGGAUCGGAUGAUGUUAAUUUUUUAAUGACUCA